CGGUGUACCAGCCAGCGCAUCCUCGAUGCCGCAGGAGCCGAGUACGCUGCUCACGGUUUCCACGCGACCACCUUGGACCAGAUCAGCGAGCGAGCAGAGGUCGAUCCCCACGAGAUGCACGCCCGAUUUGGCGACAAGAAACAGCUCGCUCGCCUGCUCCUGGACUAUGAGCGCACAGCAUGGUCGGCAUGGGAGAAGACGAUCCGCGGCCGAUCACUGACUGGCGUCUCCGCCGUCCGCAAACUCCUCCUACUUGCCGCCAACCACUACGCCACCGAUCAACGCCUCCAAGGCGCAGCCAGGCUCGCCGUCGAAUCUCAUUACAUCGACCCACGCCGUCAGCAUCCCUACAAGCGCCAACUCCAGGUAUUGCACCGAACGGUAGGCCGGAACCCAUCAGGCCUACCCGACGGGACAACCGCAGACGGAUUCAUCGCCACUGUCCUCGCCACCUUCGCCGGCCUGACCACUGCGGUGAACGGCCAAUGGACCGACCUCCCCGAACGGAUCAGACAGUUCUUGGAUCUACUCAAGACCGCCACUUAGGUGAAGCACCUCACCGGCUCUUUCCGCGCGUAUCCGAUGCCAACCCCCCCCCUUCACUUGGAGCGAUCUUGCGGGCCUGCUCCGUCCCGUCCCCGUCUCUGGCGAAGGAGGUCUCGCACGGAGAACCCUGGUCGUACCUGGGGCGGUCGAGGUCGAUGAGGACUGGCGGUCACCGCGCUGGUAGAUCCCAAGAUUGCCACGCAUGUCGCGGACCCGACGCCUCGCACGCGCCGGUUCACAUCGGUUUGCGUCGGUGCCCACGUGCUCGCAGCGACGGGACGGCUCGACGGCAAGCUGGCGACCACGCACUGGUCGACGGCCCAGCAGCUCGACGACGAGCAUCCCAAGAUCAUCGUCGACGCCGACCCGAUCCUCAUCCGUGACGGGGACGUGUGGACCGGUGCCGGUUUCAGCUCUUGUCUGGAUCCCGCCCUGGCGCUGGUCGCUGAUGACUUCGGUGAAGCACUCGCACAGAAGGUUGUCCGCCAGCUGGUCGUCUGCCUCAAGCGCCUCAGCGGGCAGAGCCAGUUCAGCGUGCCCUUGGGAUCCGCAUCGACCACACGGCAAGUGGACGAACUGCGCCACUACAUCCGGGAGCAUCUGGCCGAGCCGCCCACCGUCGCCGAGCUCACCGAACAGCUCCACGUCAGGACUGGCAACUCACCCGAAUCUUCAAGACCGAGCUGGGCAUGACCCCAGCCGCCUACCUCGAAUCAGCCCGCCUGGAAGUCGCGCGGUACCGGCUGGAAACC
RNAcentral lists this ribosomal RNA (1298 nucleotides) under Brevibacterium mcbrellneri ATCC 49030. RNAcentral describes it as "partial 23S ribosomal RNA". The record is from RNAcentral. Lineage: Bacteria; Bacillati; Actinomycetota; Actinomycetes; Micrococcales; Brevibacteriaceae.